Molecule: long non-coding RNA, 738 nt
Organism: Aedes aegypti (yellow fever mosquito)
Lineage: Eukaryota; Metazoa; Arthropoda; Insecta; Diptera; Culicidae
Exons: 2
Source: RefSeq, a predicted model, not a curated record
CUGUGCACUUUUUUCAAAACGGCGAAAUUGACAUUGAUGACAAUAUGAGAAAUUUUUGAUUGAAAUUUCCUCACAAGAAAUUAAUUCUCUAUUUCCUAUACACACUAUUUUUAACCCGCAUUACUUUUUAUCAUAUUGAUUAUCAAUUGAUCUAUCAUUUCACCAAUUAUCAUAUUUUUCUAUAAUCAUUUUGCCACACUAAUUCAAGAAAAAUAUCGCCCAGCCCUUUUCGAAACAUCGUUCUCAUUGCGCCCUUCAGAAUAUUCGUCCUUUGUCAAAUCGUAAUUCCAAUUGAGCCCAUUGGCUGCGUCCAACUGACAAAUCAUCUGUCAGAUUCGCCGAUUUGUUUAUCCCUUUCGUUUUCUUCUAUGUUAAUUACGCCGUAUUGCAUGGAGCAUAAAAAUAUAAUAAAAAAGUUAAAAAUAGUGAAAAAUAUCAGCAUUCCUCACUGGUACUAUCACUUAGUGGCACAACCAGAAACGUACCGCUUUGAGAAGCCACGGGAACCCGGAGAUUCCCCGGUCAAGUGGUGUCCCCAGAGGAAAUGCAGCUGAGUACAUGGCUACAGGAAGAAGUCAAAGAUCGACGCCUGCAACUGGGAUAAUAUUCGUGUUCCCUAUUGGAUGACUCCCGCUAGCGGUGGGAAGUGGUCCAUUAUGUAUUUAAACAGGUAUUUUGUGUACAUUUAUCAUUAUCUUUAGUAACAUAAAUGCCGUAAAAGUACGGUAGCCAAGAGAA